UAAACAUCUACUAUAAUUAUAGGAGUUGAGAUCAGAGUCCUUUCUUUCAUGGCUGAGAAAAUUAUAUGGAGUGCUAUAUUCAUUAUCUUGCUUCUCCCUGUUGGGACAGAGUUAGGGGGACUGAAGGGAUUCAUCCGAACCUCCUUAGCAGCGCCACAGUGCCAAGGAAAAUGUGAGGAGUUUCAAGAUUGUGAUGAAUUUUGUAAAAGAAUUGGUUUUGAGUCUGGCAAAUGUGUUCCACCCUUUGAGCAAUUCUGUUGUUGUGAUCCAUAGAAGUAGUUUUUUUAAUUGAAUUUAACUGAUAAUUAUUUUACAUUAUCAGUAUAUGCUA
Molecule: RNA transcript, 331 nt
Organism: Capsicum annuum
Lineage: Eukaryota; Viridiplantae; Streptophyta; Magnoliopsida; Solanales; Solanaceae
Exons: 2
Source: RefSeq, a predicted model, not a curated record